RNAcentral lists this non-coding RNA (44 nucleotides) under Trypanosoma brucei brucei. Lineage: Eukaryota; Euglenozoa; Kinetoplastea; Trypanosomatida; Trypanosomatidae. The record is from RNAcentral.
AAAAGACAAUAUAAGUUUUUGAGUAAUAGAGGGGGUGACAAGGU